RNAcentral lists this ribosomal RNA (625 nucleotides) under Frigoribacterium sp. Ri1Ps_4519. Its description in RNAcentral is "bacterial SSU rRNA". It matches the Rfam family "Bacterial small subunit ribosomal RNA", at positions 387 to 1022 of the family's 1533-position model. Lineage: Bacteria; Bacillati; Actinomycetota; Actinomycetes; Micrococcales; Microbacteriaceae. The record is from RNAcentral.
UGCAGCAACGCCGCGUGAGGGAUGACGGCCUUCGGGUUGUAAACCUCUUUUAGGAGGGGGAAGCGAAAGUGACGGUACCUGCAGAAAAAGCACCGGCUAACUACGUGCCAGCAGCCGCGGUAAUACGUAGGGUGCAAGCGUUGUCCGGAAUUAUUGGGCGUAAAGAGCUCGUAGGCGGUUUGUCGCGUCUGCUGUGAAAUCUGGGGGCUCAACCCCCAGCCUGCAGUGGGUACGGGCAGACUAGAGUGCGGUAGGGGAGAUUGGAAUUCCUGGUGUAGCGGUGGAAUGCGCAGAUAUCAGGAGGAACACCGAUGGCGAAGGCAGAUCUCUGGGCCGUAACUGACGCUGAGGAGCGAAAGCGUGGGGAGCGAACAGGAUUAGAUACCCUGGUAGUCCACGCCGUAAACGUUGGGAACUAGAUGUGGGGGCCAUUCCACGGUCUCCGUGUCGCAGCUAACGCAUUAAGUUCCCCGCCUGGGGAGUACGGCCGCAAGGCUAAAACUCAAAGGAAUUGACGGGGGCCCGCACAAGCGGCGGAGCAUGCGGAUUAAUUCGAUGCAACGCGAAGAACCUUACCAAGGCUUGACAUAUACCGGAAACGUCCAGAGAUGGUCGCCCCGCAAGG